AAGUCGUAACAAGGUUCCCUUCUGCAGCGCAGCUCCGGAGACCUUGCACCCCUUAUGGGAGGCAGCACGACGAUAAACAAAGCUCGCCGCGUGCAAGUUGGCCGCACGGUCAGCAACACAAUCGAAUUGACGGGGACCUCCUAAAGCCUGCAACACCAACCGUCCGGGGAAACUCGGGCGGGGCCCUCACGGGGUGGUAAGAGAGUGCAGGAUGAACAAUGGACGAUCCGCAGCGAAGACCCUACCGGCGAGAGCCCACGGGUACCGUUCACAGACUAAGUGAUUGUGGGCGUGGCGUCAGGCCCCGUCUAAGAUAUAGUCGGUCUCUGCUCGAAAGGGCAGAGCCUAGCGCGUCCGUAGGUGAACCUGCGGAAGGAUCAUUAAAGAAUCGCCCCGUUUUUUGAAAUGGGUUCUAUUCCCAAACCGUGUAUACAUACCUUUGUUGCUUUGGCAGGCCGCCUUCUAGGCGUCGGCUCCGGCUGACCGCGCCUGCCAGAGGACCCAAACUCUUUUGUUUAGUGAUGUCUGAGUACUAUAUAAUAGUUAAAG
Molecule: unclassified non-coding RNA, 549 nt
Filed under: plant metagenome
Description: partial contains small subunit ribosomal RNA and internal transcribed spacer 1
Rfam family: Group I catalytic intron (bases 40-343)
About the family: Group I catalytic introns are large self-splicing ribozymes. They catalyse their own excision from mRNA, tRNA and rRNA precursors in a wide range of organisms.
Source: RNAcentral